RNAcentral lists this ribosomal RNA (784 nucleotides) under uncultured Bacillota bacterium. Its description in RNAcentral is "bacterial SSU rRNA". It matches the Rfam family "Bacterial small subunit ribosomal RNA", at positions 71 to 835 of the family's 1533-position model. Lineage: Bacteria; Bacillati; Bacillota. The record is from RNAcentral.
AAGGCCCCCUCGGGGGCCGAGUAGAGUGGCGUCCGGGUGAGUAACACGUGAGUAAUUUGCCUUCGGGUGGGGAAUAACAACCGGAAACGGUUGCUAAUACCGCAUAAUGCAGCGGCACCUAAUGGUGACAGUUGUUAAAGCGGGGGAUCGUAAGACCUCGCGCCUGGAGAGAAGCUCGCGGCGGAUUAGCUAGUUGGUAGGGUAACGGCCUACCAAGGCGACGAUCCGUAGCCGGCCUGAGAGGGCGGUCGGCCACACUGACACUGACACACGGGUCAGACUCCUACGGGAGGCAGCAGUCGGGAAUUUUGGGCAAUGGGCGAAAGCCUGACCCAGCAACGCCGCGUGAAGGAUGAAGUUUUUCGGAAUGUAAACUUCACAAGAAUGGGAAGAAUAAGGGGGGGUCAAUACCCCCUCCGAUGACGGUACCAUUUGUAAGCUCCGGCUAACUCCGUGCCAGCAGCCGCGGUAAUACGGGGGGAGCAAGCGUUGUUCGGAUUUACUGGGCGUAGAGGGCGCGUAGGCGGCGCAACAAGUCACUUGUGAAAUCUCCGGGCUUAACUCGGAGCGGCCAAGUGAUACUGUCGUGCUAGAGUGCGGAAGGGGCAACUGGAAUUCUCGGUGUAGCGGUGAAAUGCGUAGAUAUCGAGAGGAACACCUGCGGCGAAGGCGGGUUGCUGGGCCGACACUGACGCUGAGGCGCGAAAGCCAGGGGAGCGAACGGGAUUAGAUACCCCGGUAGUCCUGGCCUUAAACGAUGGAUGCUUGGUGUCCGGGGUUACAU